AAUGCAGUCGAGCGAACAGACGAGGAGCUUGCUCCUCUGACGUUAGCGGCGGACGGGUGAGUAACACGUGGAUAACCUACCUAUAAGACUGGGAUAACUUCGGGAAACCGGAGCUAAUACCGGAUAAUAUAUUGAACCGCAUGGUUCAAUAGUGAAAGACGGUUUUGCUGUCACUUAUAGAUGGAUCCGCGCCGCAUUAGCUAGUUGGUAAGGUAACGGCUUACCAAGGCAACGAUGCGUAGCCGACCUGAGAGGGUGAUCGGCCACACUGGAACUGAGACACGGUCCAGACUCCUACGGGAGGCAGCAGUAGGGAAUCUUCCGCAAUGGGCGAAAGCCUGACGGAGCAACGCCGCGUGAGUGAUGAAGGUCUUCGGAUCGUAAAACUCUGUUAUUAGGGAAGAACAAAUGUGUAAGUAACUAUGCACGUCUUGACGGUACCUAAUCAGAAAGCCACGGCUAACUACGUGCCAGCAGCCGCGGUAAUACGUAGGUGGCAAGCGUUAUCCGGAAUUAUUGGGCGUAAAGCGCGCGUAGGCGGUUUUUUAAGUCUGAUGUGAAAGCCCACGGCUCAACCGUGGAGGGUCAUUGGAAACUGGAAAACUUGAGUGCAGAAGAGGAAAGUGGAAUUCCAUGUGUAGCGGUGAAAUGCGCAGAGAUAUGGAGGAACACCAGUGGCGAAGGCGACUUUCUGGUCUGUAACUGACGCUGAUGUGCGAAAGCGUGGGGAUCAAACAGGAUUAGAUACCCUGGUAGUCCACGCCGUAAACGAUGAGUGCUAAGUGUUAGGGGGUUUCCGCCCCUUAGUGCUGCAGCUAACGCAUUAAGCACUCCGCCUGGGGAGUACGACCGCAAGGUUGAAACUCAAAGGAAUUGACGGGGACCCGCACAAGCGGUGGAGCAUGUGGUUUAAUUCGAAGCAACGCGAAGAACCUUACCAAAUCUUGACAUCCUCUGACCCCUCUAGAGAUAGAGUUUUCCCCUUCGGGGGACAGAGUGACAGGUGGUGCAUGGUUGUCGUCAGCUCGUGUCGUGAGAUGUUGGGUUAAGUCCCGCAACGAGCGCAACCCUUAAGCUUAAUUGCCAUCAUUAAGUUGGGCACUCUAAGUUGACUGCCGGUGACAA
This 1125-nucleotide ribosomal RNA is filed under the name Staphylococcus epidermidis. RNAcentral's name for it is "bacterial SSU rRNA". It matches the Rfam family "Bacterial small subunit ribosomal RNA", at positions 54 to 1161 of the family's 1533-position model. The record is from RNAcentral. Lineage: Bacteria; Bacillati; Bacillota; Bacilli; Caryophanales; Staphylococcaceae.